GACGAACGCUGGCGGCGUGCUUAACACAUGCAAGUCGAACGGAAAGGCCUCUUUCGGGGGGUACUCGAGUGGCGAACGGGUGAGUAACACGUGAGUACCCUGCCCUUUACUUUGGGAUAACUUCAGGCAACUGGGGCUAAUCCCGGAUAGGAGCUCCUGCUUCAUGGUGGGGGCUGGAAAGCUUCGGCGGUUGGGGGUGGGCUUGCGGCUUAUCCGCUUGUUGGUGGGGUAGUGGCUUACCACGGCUUUGACGGGUAGCCGGCCUGUGGGGGUGACCGGCCGUAUUGGGACUUAGAUGCGGCCCCAGUGGCUACGGGUGGCAGCUGGGGGGAAGAUUGCACCAUGGGUGGAGGCCUGAUGCAGCAGGGCCGUGUGUGGGAUGACGGUCUUGUGGUUGAAAAACGCUUUCGCGCAAGACGAAGCUUUGUGUGACGGUAGUGGGUAAAGAAGCACCGGCUAACUACGUG
RNAcentral lists this ribosomal RNA (467 nucleotides) under uncultured bacterium. Its description in RNAcentral is "partial 16S ribosomal RNA". It matches the Rfam family "Bacterial small subunit ribosomal RNA", at positions 28 to 507 of the family's 1533-position model. The record is from RNAcentral.